AAAAGGAUCCCGAGUUCAAAGCUAUCCUCAGCAACAGCGAGGCACUGAGUGAGACCAGUGAGACCCUGUCUCUAAAUAAAAUACAUAAUAGGGUUGGACUGGGGAUGUGGCUUAUGGUUGAGUGGCCCUGAGUUCAAUCCCUGAUAACCCCUCGAAAAAAAAAAUUUUUAAAUAAAAAUAAAUAAAUUGUCCUGGCUGACCUCAAGUUUGUCAAUUCAAGAUUUUUUAAAAUCAGGAUCAGAAUCUUAUGGUUUCACAAUAUGGCUUUGAUGCUCUAACAAUUCUUCCUAAGCCACUAAUGGGCACAAGGAGUCUUUUCUUUUUUCUUUUUGUCUCUAUGACAACAGUAAAUUCAAGCCCAUUUUAUUCAGAUGGAAUUAACUUUACCACCCAUAUGAUCUUGGUCUGAUUUAGGUAGAGAAAUUUAUUGUAUCCUCUCCACCUAGAUCCUGUCUGUACUACUUACUGAAUUUGGCACAAGUUGCAAAUAUUUACCUGCUUGUUGAUCAUGAUAUCAAGAGCAUUCUAAUGACGUACCCUAAAGGAAUUUACUUAAAUUUGUGAACAUAGGCUGGGGUGUUACUCAGUGACAGAGCAAGAGUUUAUCAUACAUGAGGCCUUGGGUUCAAUCUCUAGCACCACACACACACACACACACACACACACACACACAACUGUGAAUGAUUAGUCCUUAAGAUGUUUUAGAGGUAUGUCCAUAGCCACUUACUUGAGGUUGGUACCACAGGUUAUAACAUUCACAAUAACUGUCAAUCCCUUUUACCAAACUCAAGAUACAUUUUCUUAAGAUACCCUAUGAACUAUAAGGGAAACAACAAUUGCUGCAUUUUCCAGAGUUUAAUCUUUGGUUGAAAAGUAAAGUGUUUUAGGGGCUGGGGUUGUGGCUCCAAGGUAGUGUACUUGCCUGGCAUGUGUGAGGCACUGGGUUUGAUUCUCAGCACCACAUAUAAAUAAAUAAUAAGUAAAUAAAGGUCUAUCAACAACUUAAAAAAAAGUAAAGUGUUUUGAACUCCCCCUGGUUAAGGCAACAAAAAUUAAUGUGCAUUCAUAAUAACCAGUUCAAAUGAUAGCCAAAAG
Molecule: long non-coding RNA, 1095 nt
Filed under: Marmota monax (woodchuck)
Lineage: Eukaryota; Metazoa; Chordata; Mammalia; Rodentia; Sciuridae
Source: RNAcentral